This 72-nucleotide transfer RNA is filed under the name Bos taurus (domestic cattle). It matches the Rfam family "tRNA". Rfam says of the family: Transfer RNA (tRNA) molecules are approximately 80 nucleotides in length. Their secondary structure includes four short double-helical elements and three loops (D, anti-codon, and T loops). The record is from Rfam by way of RNAcentral. Lineage: Eukaryota; Metazoa; Chordata; Mammalia; Artiodactyla; Bovidae. RNAcentral also lists the same sequence under 1 other name.
CCCUUGAUAGCUCAGUUGGUAAAGAAUCUGUCUGCAAUGCAGAAGACCCUGGUUUAAUUCCUGGGUAGGGAA